RNAcentral lists this non-coding RNA (24 nucleotides) under Arabidopsis thaliana (thale cress). Lineage: Eukaryota; Viridiplantae; Streptophyta; Magnoliopsida; Brassicales; Brassicaceae. The record is from RNAcentral.
AAUGCUGCCUAGUGGACUACUCUA